Molecule: ribosomal RNA, 253 nt
Filed under: uncultured bacterium
Lineage: Bacteria
Description: partial 16S ribosomal RNA
Rfam family: Bacterial small subunit ribosomal RNA
Source: RNAcentral
UACGUAGGGGGCAAGCGUUGUCCGGAAUCAUUGGGCGUAAAGCGCGUGUAGGCGGUCCGGUAAGUCGGCUGUGAAAGUCCAGGGCUCAACCCUGGGAUGCCGGUCGAUACUGCCGGACUAGAGUUCGGAAGAGGCGAGUGGAAUUCCCAAUGUAGCGGUGAAAUGCGCAGAUAUCGGGAGGAACACCGGUGGCGAAGGCGGCUUGCUGGGCCAGUUCUGACGCUGAGGAGCGAAAGCGUGGGGAGCAAACAGG